Molecule: unclassified non-coding RNA, 211 nt
Filed under: Hevea brasiliensis (rubber tree)
Lineage: Eukaryota; Viridiplantae; Streptophyta; Magnoliopsida; Malpighiales; Euphorbiaceae
Source: RNAcentral
UGGUGAUAUACCUCAUGCAGGUAUAGGUAAUGCUCGCAGAAUGCAAGUGCCCAAUUCAGAUAUGCAACAUAAGGUAUUAAUAGAAGCAGUUGAAAAUCACAUGCCUCAAGUGAUAAUCAUAGAUGAAAUUGGGACAAAACUUGAAGCAAUGGCUGCAAGUACAAUUGCACAACGUGGGAUUCAAUUAGUAGCCACUGCUCAUGGAGUUACG